AACGCCGCGGAGCUGCUGCCGCCGCCGCAGCCGCCGCCGCAGCGAAGAGGCCAUGUUGUGUGGUGUGUGGGGCGGGGGGAGGAGGAGGAGGGAGUAAAGCUGAGAGAGGAGACGGGAGAGAGACACCACACACACACGGCACAAGAUGGCCGGAGAGGCAGCAGCACCCCGAGCUGUCAGGCGUUCCGCCGCGGCCGCGGGACCCGCCGGCUGGCGGGGAGCUGCGCCCGGGCGGCCCGCAGGCCUCGCGGGGGGCGAAGCGGCCGCGGCCGAGACGAGAUCGGCCGAGCGCCGGGGGGUCGGAUCUCCGCGGCAGAGGCGCCCGGAACGGCCGGGGCCCGCAACGCCCCAAGUGCCGCUGCGGCAGCGGCCGCGGAGGCUCCCCGGGGUCCCGGCGGCUCGACGCGGCGCGGGCGCCAGGCCCUGCGCGGGCAUCGCGUGCGGGCGACUUCGAGGCGCCGGCGGCUGCGCUCGGACCCGCCGAUGUUGAAAACGGCUGCGGGGAUCACCGGGGAGAAGGGACUUGCCGCCCCUGGAAAACCUUGAUGACGUGAAGGUAACUUACAAGAUUAAAAUAAAAUUUGGUUGAUGAUGGUUCUGAACAGAUACAGCUCUUUUAUUUGAGAAACCGUUUUGAAGACAGAGACCAUGGAGUUUUAUAUCUGAGGAUAAAGGAAAUCUUUGCAGAAGUCUGUAUUUUAUAUAGCAAAAAUGUGAAUCCUGAGACUGAAUCUCUAAAGGGCCUGUACAACGUAAUAGAUGUUGGUGGAAGCAUUUACACCCACAGCUUGAAGCGUCUCAAAUGGACCCUACCGCUGAGAAAUCAAGAUGGCAGUCCACUAUGGGGAAUAGAGGAAAAUGGAUUAAUACAAGAGUGCUGUGAUAAUACACAACCAAGACAGGGUUCAUUUAACAUGGAUUUCAUGAAAUGAAUGAAGACAAUAGGUUUCUUACCCAACACAGAUGGACAGUGAAUUUGACUUUCCAAAGACUUUUUGUAUCAUUAAACAAGCCCAUUUUUGACAUUUGGAGAUGAAAGAUGGCACGUUAACAGAGAUGAUAGUUUGUAUGUCUGGAAUUUUUUUCAAUUUGAUCUGUAUGAAUAUGACCUUGUGAAAUGUUAAUUUUAAUAAAAUUUCUAACACUUUAAAA
This is a long non-coding RNA of Myotis daubentonii (Daubenton's bat), 1152 nucleotides long. RefSeq lists it as uncharacterized. Lineage: Eukaryota; Metazoa; Chordata; Mammalia; Chiroptera; Vespertilionidae. The record is from RefSeq and is a predicted model, not a curated record.